Molecule: long non-coding RNA, 1154 nt
Filed under: Monodelphis domestica (gray short-tailed opossum)
Lineage: Eukaryota; Metazoa; Chordata; Mammalia; Didelphimorphia; Didelphidae
Description: lncRNA (ENSMODG00000049833.1)
Source: RNAcentral
GAUAUGUUUACAAGUGUACAAAUAAGAGCUGUUGAUGAUGUUUUUAGAUUUGAACAUGAUACGUAGUCUUAAUAUAUAAAUGGAGACUGGCUAUCCACUGAACAUUUCCUCCAGACACCUUUCCACUCUGUUCAUCUGAUAUGUGUGAUUACCUAAGAGUCAAGGAGGACCAUUCAGAAGGUAGGAUACAGCACAUGGAAACAGUAUGGCCUAGCAGAUAUAGAGAGGCAACAUGGCAUAAUGAAUGGAAAGCUGGCCUUAAAACCAGGAUGAUCUGGAUUGGUAUCUUUCCUCUGACACAUUCUGGAUAUAGGACCUUUCCUACAUUAAUCACUUGACUUCUUGACAUUCUAGACAACCAUCUAAAACAGAGCUGUUGAAGAAAGAACAUUGCUUUGGAAGUCACACAAGGUAAGUCUGAACCUAAAUUCUGAUCCUUACAAAUGGUGUUAACUUAGACAAGUUAUCUCACCUUUGCUGUGAGUAACCUCCUCUGUAACAAUGACUAUGCUGGGCCAGAUGGCUUAUUAGUUUUUCUUUUCUUUUUUCAGUUCCAGAUUCAUGAUAGCAAGCUCCAUCCAAAAAAAAAAAAAAGAAAAGAAAGAAAGUCUAGACUUAUCUAUGAACCAAUCAAUCAUACUUAGGAAGUUUAUCACUUGACAUAAGCCACAUAGUUACUAUUUAUCAAAAGCAGGAUCUGAACCUGGAUCUUCUCAGUUCUAGGUCCUGAAAUCUUUACACUGAGAAAGGUCAGGCUGAUCCUCUUUUCCAUAAUCACAUAGAAUCAUAAAACUAAGAAGAGUUUGGAAGGAAACUCAGAGAUCAUCUCAUCCUGCCUCAACCCCUCAUUUUACAAUAGAGGAAACUGAGAUCUAGGCUUCCAUCAAAUUCACACUGACUUCUGCCUACCUCAGUUUCCUCAUCUGAAAAUGGGGAUAGUAAUAGCACCUACCUCUUCAGAUUGUUAUGGGAAUGGACUAACAUUUGUAAAGUGCUUUGCAAAGGGUAAUGGACUCUACAAAUAUUAGCUGUGAUGAUAAUGAUGAUGACAAUGAUUAUUAGCUGUGAAACCCCCGCAUUUUUUCUGCAUGUGCAAAAAACAUGGUAGCUAUUGAAUAUUUCCUUUAGGCCCAUAAUAGAACGUACCAUGUUCC